This 438-nucleotide ribosomal RNA is filed under the name uncultured bacterium. RNAcentral's name for it is "partial 16S ribosomal RNA". It matches the Rfam family "Bacterial small subunit ribosomal RNA", at positions 339 to 795 of the family's 1533-position model. The record is from RNAcentral.
CUACGGGCGGCUGCAGUGAGGAAUAUUGCACAAUGGGGGAACCCUGAUGCAGCAACGCCGCGUGGAGGAUGACGCAUUUCGGUGUGUAAACUCCUUUUAUAUGUCGAGAAAAUGACGGCAGCAUAUGAAUAAGCACCGGCUAACUCCGUGCCAGCAGCCGCGGUAAUACGGAGGGUGCAAGCGUUACUCGGAAUCACUGGGCGUAAAGGACGCGUAGGCGGGUUGGAAAGUCAGGUGUGAAAUCCUACAGCUUAACUGUAGAACUGCACUUGAAACUUCUAAUCUAGAGUAUGGGAGGGGGAGAUGGAAUUAGUGGUGUAGGGGUAAAAUCCGUAGAUAUCACUAGGAAUACCUAAAGCGAAGGCGAUCUCCUGGAACAUUACUGACGCUAAGGCGUGAAAGCGUGGGGAGCAAACAGGAUUAGAUACCCUAGUAGUC